UGCGGUGAUUUCAUUGGCAUGGGCGAAGUUUGUCUCCGGGUCGUGACAGGCAAAUUCUUCAACUUCUUUAGUCAAGUGAUGAUCAAGAUUGACAAUUCUUUGGAUUAACCUGUUUUAUUGGCAAAAACAUCGACUUCAGCAUUAUAUAUGGAUACUCUAUGCCACUCAGGUGGAGGGUCUCGACGGGCCAGUGGAGGAGCGUCUGCGCCGGCGACGGGAGGGGCGUUGUUUUUACUGUGGGCGUUUGGGACACUUGAUCGCCCGCUGCCCGACUCGACCAGAGCACUCUGACAUCAGGAUCUCUACUCCGAUUCUGGGUCGGAAGCAAACCUGAUAAAUCCCCGCGUGGUCGAAGAGCUGGGGGCAGCAACCAUCCCCACGCAACGGUUUCGUCACGCCUAUGCCGCCAACGGCAAGUUCCUUUGUCGGGUUACACAUCGCACUCAGACGCUACGUAUGAGCUUUCCGGACGCUCACUCGGAGCGUAUUAGCUUCCAUGUCUUCAACGCACGUAGUAGCGACAUCAUCUUGGGCAGCCCGUGGCUCAAAGAACAUAACCCGCACAUAGAUUGGACCACGGGUCAGAUCAAGACUUGGGGAGAGGACUGUCUCAGUCGCUGUUUCGCUGUCCAGGAAGACAGGGGUAUUAAGGUCGCGCCGGUUCGGCAAACAGAACCUAGUACCGCCCCGGACCUGACCGCGGUGCCCUCCUGCUACCAUGAUCUACGGGAGGUCUUCUCUGAAUCUAAGGCAAAGUCUCUGCCGCCACAUCGGUCACACGACUGCCGGAUUGAACUCCUGCCAGGCACCUCUCAGAGAGAAACUGUUCUCGUUAACAGGACCAGAGCAUCAAGCCAUGAGGGACUACAUCGAGGACUCGCUGGCAGCCGGACUCAUUCGCCCCUCAUCCUCACCAGCCGGUGCGGGGUUUUUUUUUGUCAAGAAGAAGGACUCCACGCUGCGACCCUGCGUCGACUACCGAGGACUGAACGACAUCACAGUCAAGAACAGCGCUUACCACUUGGUGCGGAUUCGGGAAGGAGAUGAGUGGAAGACGGCGUUCAACACCCCCACAGGGACUAUGAGUAUCUUGUGAUGCCUUUUGGACUGACAAACGCCCCGGCCGUCUUUCAAAACUUCAUUAACGACGUGCUUCGGGAGUUCCUGAAUAGAUCUGUCUUUGUAUACCUGGAUGACAUUCUCAUCUUUUCAGCAGACCUAACCUCUCACAUUCAACAAGUCAGAGAGGUGCUCCGGCGUCUGCAGCAGCGCCAAUUGUAGGUGAAUAUGGAUAAGUGUGAGUUCCAUCGGGCAUCCGUGUCCUUCCUGGGCUUCGUCCUGGCUGAGGGAGAGAUACGGAUGGACCCCGGGAAGGUCGACGCGGUGCUGCGGUGGCCUACCCCCACCAACAGGAGGGACGUACAGAGGUUUCUGGGAUUUGCCAAUUUCUAUAGGAAAUUCAUAAGGAACUUCAGUUCCGUGGCCGCUCCUCUGCAUUCGCUCACCUCGCCACAUACCACCUUCGACUGGUCCGGGACCUGCCAGGAGGCCUUCAGCAGGCUCAAGGCAAGUUUCACUACUGCGCCCGUUCUCAUUGUUCCGGACCCAGAUAACCAGGCCUGAGAGGAUGUGGCACUCGCCCGCCGUGUUUUUGUGAUUUUAAUGAUGACACCCAAAUUAAUAGAUUUUUCCACAUACUAAAUAAGUGAUUGACAUGUUUUUUGGGUACAAGGUGUUGUUCAGGUGGUGCAAUGACAGAUGACAGCCAUGUAUGACAUACUCUCAUGCCAAUUUGAACAAUGCCGAGUUUGGAAACUCAACAUAAGUUGUUUUCUUUUUAAAUGUCCAGAUAAGUUCUUGAGCCAAAACACAAAACAACAAAAAAAUAAAGUACAAAGCAUGAAGACCCAUACUUUCAACACUGUAUGCAUUUUGUUCAAUGUUUUAGUGAUGUCAAUAACAAAUAAGCAAAUGAUUGAUGGGAAUAUGGGGUUGUAUUUGUGAUCUUUCAUAAAUGACUCUUGUAAAAGCAGUGACUAUGACUCUAUUUGCGUGUCCAGUAUAUUAAAGGCAUUUUCCCCAUUAAAAAGAAAUUAAUGUCUUUCAACCAGUGGGAAGCUUCCACGAACAAAAUGCUCUCAACUUCACGCAAAUGUGGACCAAGAAAUAUGUGAAAAAAAUCUGCAAAUCUGGGGCACUGUGGAGGAUCACCAGCAGGCGGCCUCUGAACUCCACAAUGAGUGAUGACAUGAUGUCACACUCUCCCCACCGAUGAAGAGAUGAUAAAACGUCUGAAGCGGAUUUGACAUGUCACACUGACAAACAAUGGAAAAUUUCUGUGUGGGAAAGCUUUUAGUCCUUCCAUCCAUCCAUUUAUUUAGCCACUUAACCUCACAAGCGUCAUGGCAAGUGCUGGAGCAUAUCCCAGCUGUCACUGGCCAGGAGGCUGAACUGGUUGCCAGCCAAUCGCAAGGGACACCGAGACAAACAGCCACACUCACAAUGACACCAAGGGGCAAUUUAGAGUGUCCAAUUAAUGUUGCAUGUUUUUGGAAUGUGGGAGGAAACCAGAGUGCCCGGAAAAAACCCACGCAGUCACGAGGAGAACAAGCAAACUCCAGACAGGCGGGUCCAGGGUUGAACACGGGACCUCAGAACUGUGAGGCCAACACUUUUCCAGCUGAUCCACCAUGCUGCCCCAGAUUUAUACAUCUUUGUCUGAAUUUCCAUAUUUUUUAUAUUUUGUCACAAACAUUAUUGCAGUUACAGGACAGAUAUUGCAGUGUUAAUAUUUAAUUGAAGAAUAUACUCAUGACUCGAAUUGUUGAUAAAUUAGAGUUUCAGUGUUUAUUGAUUAAAUAAAACAAUAUGAUAAUGUUGGGAGUGACAUGAAUGUUGCUUUUCAUCACUAUCCAAGAUUCGAGCAUAGAAUUGGUUGGACUUGUAUCCUGGAUCAAAUAUAUCUGAAGAUUUUUAUGAAUGCAAUAAAAUGUUGAGAUGAUUCACUUGAUUGACACAAAAAUGCAGAUAAAACCUUUCAGUUUCACUGGUGCUGGCUCAGCAUCCUGUAGGGUUUUAGCCUUGUUGCCAUGGUGACAGAUUUAGAAAAACAACCUUGCCACCUUUCAACAGCUGUGAUCGUAUAGUGGUUAGUACUCUGCGUUGUGGCCGCAGCAUCCCCGGUUUGAAUCCGGGUCAUGGCAGUUCUGUUGAGUUAUUUUUUUUAGUCCUUAUGGUUGAUAUUUGUAUGAAUCUCUUUAGAAUUACAAAAAUGAACGGACCAAACACAAUGAUGGAAGUAAUUAAUUAAUCCAUCAGAAUGCCAAAGAAAGGACCCUACAAAUAGUAACACAAGCACAUUCAAACCAUUUUCUUGAACAAAUAGCCAUAGAAUUUUCAACACUGUUGACCAAAUGGGAUUCCCGACCACUUGCUGAGGCCGUAGCACAAAUAAAGCACCAUGAAGAUUUGGACCGUGUGGAAAUUAACUGGCUGCAAGGACUCAUUUGGGCAGACAUGUUUUCCAUUGCACCAUUUGCCUCACGGUGGCUUAAAGCCCUACCCAAGCCCAUCUCAAGGACUAUCACUGUCCCACGCAAAUUUCAAACCUCAGGACUAAAGAAAUUAACUCCUGGAAUUUGGUCCUGCUGUGACUCGAAUUUGAACCAGGGUUGCUGCAGCCACAACACAGUGUACUAAGCACUAUAUCAUCAUGUAGGUGCGGGACGAACAUGCAAACUCCACACAGAUGGGGAUGGGAUUGAACCCAUGUUCUCAGAACUGCGAGUCCAACGCUCUACAGCCACACCACCGGAAGGUCCUUGCUCGCACCCAGUUUUGAAACAAGUACCAGACACACAUCAGCAGUAUUAAUCAAUAGAAAUGUCCACUCUCCUUAAGAUUUACAACAUGAGCAAAAAAAACAAAUAAAAUAAAUAAUACAGCUCCUUGACAAGCAAGCAAGAAAAAAAUGAUUGUUUCCACCCGGUCUCGAACCGGGGACCUUUCGCGUGUGAGGCAAAUGUGAUAACCACUACACUAUGGAAACUGCCAGGCUGUGCUUUUGAGAGAUGAAAGAUGAAACUCUACUCUCUUCAGAGUAACGCUUCUCAGCUAUUUUCAGCAGUUGCUCCAAUACAAACAUCAACAAUGAAAUUUUGAAUGACGACAAAGUUGGAAGAAGUGGACAUUUGGACUUUCACCCUAUAACUUCAAAUUUACACCUCAGUGACAAAUUAAACAUUCCUGACAAAAGCAGAAUUCAGUCAGUUGCACGAGCGGUCAUCUACAACCCCAUGAUAUGUCCUUCUCAGUGGAAAAGUUUGUGAAUUCAAAGUAGAAACCUUGAUAUCCAUCAGAAUGCCCAAGAAAUGACCCUAAUGUGAUUCAAACACAUAACCUUCCGAUCUGGAGUCAGCCACGAUACCGUUGCGCCACAGAGCAGGUAAUGAAGGGCUUUUGUGGAGGUGUAAGCUCAACAGGAGGCAGGUAUAAUUGCCAAUACAAGCGACUGACAUGCCCGACUGGUGAAUCCGUGUAAAAAAAAAAGCUUGCUCUGUAGUUGUCAUUGAAGUCAGGACUGGGCAAUUUUCUCCCAUCUUUGAGGGGACAUUUUUUUUGCCCAUGAGAUGAUCAAACACUGAAUUCAUGCAGUCUCUGAACAAAACAAGUGGAAGGGGGCAUCCAGAGUUGAACUGGAGACCUCUUGAUCUGCAGUCAAAUGCUCUACCACUGAGCCACAAACCCUUGCUGUCACAGUGCCUCUUAGUGGUGUAGACAAUUCAAUAUUCAUCAUUUGUACCAUUGGUUUCAGUUGUGAAAUGUGUAUGAUUGAGAACUGUUCGCAUCAAACGACCUUUCCACUGUUCUUGGUCCCUGGAAAAAGCUAUAUGUGACUUGCAGGUGACGUCACAUCCGUUUUGAAUUUUUUCUGGCCGCCAUAUUGGGAGGUCUCAUUUCACAGGUUACAUUCGAUUACAUAAGACGCUUUUUGACUUCUGAGACGAUGGUGCACACGUGUUGUGUUAUUGGCUGCUAUAACAAGUUCAGCAAAGAAGGGAACAGACGGUUUUUCCGAUUUCCGAAAAUAAUUACGCACCAAGGACCCCAAACAGAAGAAAUGUCGAGCAAACGGCAAGCGAAGUGUCUCAGUAAUAUCUCGCGUGCAGAUCUCACUCGUCCCACAGUUUCAAGUCGUGUGUGCAGCGAUCACUUCAUAAGUGGUAAGUUUAAGCCUAGUAUUGCACUUUGACCAUAUCCUCCGACUGCUAUUUUUACAUGUAUGUGUUGUUUGCUGUGUUUUAUAUGACAAGACUAACGGUGUUUGAUAGGUCUACAUGUACAUGUACAUCCAACUCGGCCGCCGAUCGAAAUCGGCCGCCAGUGACAAGCUUUUCAUCUCCAGUUUAGGAUACAAACGUAAGGAUGUGUGUUGUGCGUUUGCUGUCUGUUUACUCUCUGUGAACAUCAAAAUAUUUUUAAGAAGGAAAUAUACCGUAUAUAUAUUAAAAACAACACGAGUAUGCAUGUAUCACCUACCACCUACCAGGGCAUCAUUCACGCUAGCCCUAAUACAACAGUUGCGGCUUUCUAUAUGCUGACAUUUGAGUCAGGCAAAUGUGAACAAAUAGAAAGCCGCGACUGUUGUAUUAGGGCUAGUAUUACUAUUAGGGCUACAUUCAGACAUUCACGCUAUAAUUUGUUAGUACUUAGUCAUUUACACCUUGUACAUUUUAAUUAUUGUCACAUUACUUAAUGCUCCUUCAAAUAAAUUUAAAAGAUGGUGUAAUAUUUAUUUGUCAGAUCUUUUUCCCUAAUCGGUCCGAUAUGUCGGACCUGAAAAAGCCAUAAUGGCUAAGCAGAAACAACAACAACAACAGUGAGUUACGCACUCUGUCCCGGGUGAUUACAAGUUACUUACUCGGGCAACGAUUAAAACCUUUUCUUCAGACAACGUUUUGCAGAGGACACUCUGAAUCCACCCGCUUACAAAGUAAUUGUAAGCCUCCAAGGACUUGCAGGCCUUCAAUCUGUGGGUGACUCAGGCUGUUGGUUGUAAGCACCAAGUAGUUCACAAUGUCGGGGUUUUCCACUCUCGGCCAACAUUUUUCAGUCGCAAAGUCAGCCUUCGAUAGACUAUACGGGUCCAGAUCCACACAUAAAUUGAUUUUCUGCCUGUAGUAGGGUUUCAGAUCAGCCGACAGAUCCUCGAAAUACUUGGAAAACGCUAUAGAAAGUGCAGAUACAAUGAACGCGAUGCUGGUAUGUCGACAAACUUUAAGAACUGUUUACAACCUCCGAAAAUGGCCGACACAUGAAAAAUUCUUACCCACAAUGCACUUGCUCUGAAGUUGUGCAAGUGACCUAUUGUCUAAUUCAAGGUCAAGAUGUUCAAGCUUGGUGGGACUCUGGCUCGCAAGUGACAAUUAUUGAUGAGGAAUGGAAAGAAAUGUGUUCUGCCAGACACAAAACUCAGAGACAUUUCAGAAAUUUUGGACAGAGUGGGCCCUUUAGACACAGUAAUAGCCAAUGGAGAGAACAUGUCGUGUGUGGGCUGGGGAGAGGUAACCUUUAGUUUAGCUUCAAGGGACGCUCCCACCACUUCAGUGAACGUCCGUAGUCUCGUAAUGAAAGGUGACAAGCUUGGCCAACCAAUCAUUGGAUCAAAUGUUAUUGAGCUGAUCAUAGUCAAUGAACUAAAACAAUCUAAUGCCACUGACAGAAAAUGCCCAAGACAAAUGGUGACAACAGCAUUUCCCAAUCUUGAACUCGAACAAGCACAGUUGGCUGGAAGAACUGUCAUUGUCCAACACAUUCAAGCUUUAUAUCCUGCCUCCAUAUUAGAGGGUGCUCGACCUCCACCUCCUGUUUGCUUGAGCCACGUCCGACUCGAAGAAAACAAAACAACGGACCAAUGGGACCCACCAGUCAAUUUGAGUCACCUCAGUAACCACAGUGGCCGGAGAAAACCCACGCAGGCACAGGGAGAACAUGCAAACUCUACACAGAUGUGGGCAGGAUCGAACCCGUGUCCUCAGAACUGUGAGCCCAUCGCUUUACCAGCUGAUCCACCAUCCCACCUACACACCAUCCGAUAACAGAAAUCUAUAUUUUUCAAUUUCAUGUCAUCAUAUUUUAUAUUCAUUGUUUUCAAUACCGAGGUCUUUGAACCUGGGACCUCUCGCACCAUCAGCAAGAAUCAUGCCCCCCGACCAAUGGACCACAAGAUGACACCUUUGCUUUCAUGUCGCACCUUCCAAGUGAAAAUGAUGACCACAAGUAAAUGUUAUCUUUAUUGAACAUGGAUCAAUAUCUUUCUUUUGUACUUUCUUCAACGAUUAUAAGGAUUAUAUUGAAGUAUCCCUUAUGUAAAGUGCAACGCACUGUGGGAAAGGGGUUUUGCAAUUUAUUUUCAUUUUUCCUGUGAGGGAUUGUAACAGAAAUCAAAUGAGUGUCAGUGCACAA
Syngnathoides biaculeatus (alligator pipefish) is the source of this 7464-nucleotide long non-coding RNA. RefSeq lists it as uncharacterized. NCBI's taxonomy places the organism in Eukaryota, Metazoa, Chordata, Actinopteri, Syngnathiformes, Syngnathidae. The record is from RefSeq and is a predicted model, not a curated record. The transcript is spliced from 3 exons.